CCAGGAAAGAAGGCGGCCCCAAGAGACCUUGUUGAUGUUCAAGGAUCACCUCCUCCAAGACCAAGCAAGCACCAUCCCAACAAGUAGGAAAUCAAAGGCAGCAGGAGACUGGCAUGGGUGAGUAAGGAGCUCCUAACUGAACUCAGACAUAAAAAGGAAGUGUAUAAGGAGCGGAAGCUGGGACAGGACAGAGGAGUAUGCUGUCUGAUCUUGCCGAGAUAGCACUUGAAAAGCCAAGACCGACCUGGAGUUGCAUUUGGCCACAUUUCCGGAUGUGAACACAUGGAGGGCAAUGCUGCAAAGAAGAAGAAGAAGACCAAGCAUGUAUGUUAGGCAAUGGUUACUGCAAAAGCAGCAAGAAACAGACUUUGGGACACACACCGCAGCCCUGUGCUCUUAAAGACCACAGCCACAGCAGAAAGAGCAGAGUAGAAGAUGACCCUCUGUGAAGGAUUUCGCAGUUACUGCAGCACACUGAAGAGCAAGAGGCUGUUGAGUACAACGAGGAUGCAUCCCUGGGAUUACCACUGGCUGCACUCCCAAGCCCUGAGGAGGCAUUUGAACACCCAGAUUUACCCUACGCUCAAAUGUAGCAGGAGUGGUGGAGGAGGUGACAGACCACCCCAUGGCUUCUGCGGCCCAUACUCAGCAGUGGGAAUGGCUGAUCAUGAGAUUCAAGGCUAGACGAUAUGUAAAAGAAUACAGCUUAGUUAAUUUAGAUCAGGUGUCACUACAUGAAGCUUAUGAAACAUUUGUUCAGGGUGUAGAAAAGAUUUUUGAUCAUUUACACUAUCUGUAUGAACCUGUUGAUUAUGCCCAGCUCUGUCUUGAAACUGCCAGCAUGAGUAACUCUUUGUAAUCUCACACUACAAAUUUAUGCUAUAUGAAGGCUGUGAAAUUCGGGUCAGUAAUGUUUUGCAAAGUAAAAAAGAGAUGUGUUUUGAUCAGUCUUUCUGCCUAGCUACUGUGAUUUUAAAAGCCAUUAGGAAUGGGGUAUGCAGAAUCCUACAGUCUAUCUUCCAUUCCAAAACUAUGGACAAAAAGUGAUAUUAUUUAAUUCACCUAAAUAACAGUCACAAUAAUCUCUGUUUUGCUGGGAGUCUUACAGAGAGCUUACAGCUGUGAGGGACCUAACAGAUGCAGAAUUGUUAAGCAGAGCAAAAGAGCUACAGGACAAACUAGGCUGGGCUGUGCACAGGAAGGCCGUGCUGAGCAACAUCUCCUUGUCCGAGAAUCUGCAGCAUGUAAAUACUGCUCCUGUCUGAAAGAAAAAAAAAGGGUUCGGAGACUUUUAAGCCAAAUCGUGGUCUUUGAUAUCGCAGGAUCUGUUUCCUCCUUUUACAUGAUUAAUAUUAUUAUGCUGUUAAGGAUGCCAGGAAGUUAUUUUGGCUGUAUCAAAUGCUACCAUCAACAUGACCAGAACCAUGUGGCCGGGAACAACCUUUGGGUAUUUGUAUUGCACAACACAGCAAAAGAGGGACGACCUAAAGAAAGCUGGAUUUCAUGUCAGAUCUAUAUGGCAGCAUGAGUGGGUUGAUAUGACAAAAUCCAAUGGGGAGCUUGCACAGUUCUUACCCAGGACCAAACUGCCAUAAUGCUGGUCCCCAGAGAUGUGCUUGCUGGUGGCAGGACAAAUUCCAUUUGUCCAUGUCACAAAGAGCUCCUGAUGAAAAGAUAAAUUUCCACGGUUUUACUAGCCUCUCUCCCUUCAUGGACAAAACAAAACAAGAGCCUUUUGGACUCCCCAGAGUUAUUUUUGAGAAUUUUGACACCCUGACAAUGUGCUUUGGGAUGGUCAAAGUAAAGGUGUACUUGCCUCGUGGGCUGUUUUUUUUGCUGUGCUUCCUAUGCAGACAAAAGUGGAAAAGCCCCUUGAGACUCCUGAGGCCUCUGACCCUGUAGUUCAGGGGGUGUUGCAUUAUGGGCAUACACAAUAUCAGAGGAAUGCAUAAGUAUAUUAGGGCAAUACAAGCAUAUUUCUUCUGGGGAUAACCAGGGAAGUUGUGCAACUCAUAACCAUGCUUGCUGGUCCUGGAGAAACAUGGGCCCUAGGGAGCCAGUUGCUUAGGUAAACACCUAGAAAUAAGAGGUGGGCCUGUGCAAAUCUCAUGAAGUUCAACAAGUUCAACAAGGCCAAGUGCAAGGUCCUGCACCUGGGUGAUGGCAAUCCCAAGCACGAAUACACACUGGGUGGAGAAUGGAUUGAAAGCA
This is a long non-coding RNA of Chroicocephalus ridibundus (black-headed gull), 2211 nucleotides long. RefSeq lists it as uncharacterized. The record is from RefSeq and is a predicted model, not a curated record. The transcript is spliced from 4 exons. Lineage: Eukaryota; Metazoa; Chordata; Aves; Charadriiformes; Laridae.